UACGUAGGGUGCGAGCGUUAAUCGGAAUUACUGGGCGUAAAGCGUGCGCAGGCGGCUUUGUAAGACGGAUGUGAAAUCCCUGGGCUUAACCUAGGAACUGCGUUCGUGACUGCAAAGCUAGAGUGCGGCAGAGGGGGGUGGAAUUCCUGGUGUAGCAGUGAAAUGCGUAGAGAUCAGGAGGAACGCCGAUGGCGAAGGCAGCCCCCUGGGUUGGCACUGACGCUCAUGCACGAAAGCUGGGGGAGCGAAAGGG
RNAcentral lists this ribosomal RNA (253 nucleotides) under uncultured bacterium. RNAcentral's name for it is "partial 16S ribosomal RNA". It matches the Rfam family "Bacterial small subunit ribosomal RNA", at positions 524 to 776 of the family's 1533-position model. The record is from RNAcentral.